UGUGGCUCAUGCCUGUAAUUUCAACACUUUAGGAGGCUAAAGUGGGAGAAUUACUUAGGCUCAGAAGUUUGAGUUCAGCCUGGGCAACAUAGUGAGACCCCAUCUCUUCAAAAAAUACAAAAAUUAGUCAGGUAUGCUGGCAUGUGCCUGUAGUCCCAGCUACAUGGGUGACUGAGGGGGAAGGAUCGUUUGAGCCUGGGAUGUCAAGGCUGCAGUGAGCCAUUACUGCACCACUGUAAUGGCUACACUGUAGCCUGGGUGACAAUGUGAAACCCAAUCUCAAAAAAAAAAAAAGAAAGAAGAGAAAGAGAAAAGAAAAGAGAAAUUAUACAAUCCAGGAAUCCUACUUCUGGGAAUCUAUGUAUGCAAAGCAGGACCUGGAAUAGACAUUUGCACACAUAUAUUUUUAAGAGCAUUCCCCAAUCCCCUAUACACAAAAAGGUGACAGCUACUUAAGUUUCUUGAUAAAUGGAUAACAUAUGGCAUUUGUAGGCAAUGGAAUAUGGCUGUACAUUCAGAUAGCAAAUUAUGCACAUGCUACAAUAAGCAUAAAACUUUAAGACAUCAUAUUUAGUGAAAUAUACCAGAAACAUAGUGACGAAGAGUACAUAAUCCCAUUUAUAUGAGCUAUCUUAAGUAAAAUGAUUUUUAGAAAACAGAAUUAUAAAGUACUCCUCCACAGAUGGAAUAAAAAGCUGGGAAUGCUGGGAGCAAAGUCAUCUGCCACCUGGAGAACAGAACUUCCAGGCACCAGGGGACUGCAAGCACAGAUGACAACAGUGACGGUAGCAAGGGCACUGAUCAGAGUAGUGGUGGCCUGAGGAGUACUUUUUGGCAUGCACCAGUGUGCCAGAGGCUGGGGCCCACACUGGGGACUGGAGUUGCCCUCCAUAACUCCAGAACCAGGUUCUGGUGUUUCACUUCAUGUUCCACCAAUGCCCCUGCGGACAGUAAAGUACUUAUCUCAAUUAAGUGAUCUAAACAUUGCAUUGAUAAACUAUAAAUAACCUCAAACACUCCAGUUAAAAACAAUUUACCACAUUGAAAAAUAUCAAACUUCUAAUCAGAACACAGAAAGUCUGUAUGAAAUUACACGGCAAAAAGAGAACAGUGAGAAGACUGUAGCCAUAACACAAAGAAGAAGGGCUGUGAGGCAUACAUAGCUGGGAAUAAACACAUAAAGAUAUCCCAAAACUAAAGAUAAUCAGAAAAUAAAAUAAGAGAUUCUCUUUAAAUUCAGAAUGAGUCAGUUUUGCAGCCUGGGAAGAGAUGUUCUCUCCACAUGCAGACUGCCAUUUCUUCACUAUAGACAUUUUCAUUCUCUUACUUGGAGCUACAAACUCACUCCAGAAAGAAUACUAUUUAUGGCCAAUUAUGGAGCAUCUAUUACCCAGUACUUUCUUAUGAUUACUAUAAUUAUAUAUCAAAACAUCCCAUGAAUUAUAGUUUUACCAGUACUUACCUUAAAAAAUUGGCACAAUAAACUCAUUUAUGUCAAUUAUAAAAAGUGAAACGAAUAACUAAACAGCUCAUGUAGGGUUAUCCAAUUAAAGCAAUAAAAUGAAAUGUCCUAACUAAAAUAUAACUUAAUACACGAAUUGUGAACUUGCAUCUAAAUAUUUUGUGUGCACUACUAAAUUUUAUAAAAUUAUAAUUUCUGACCAGCUCACAUAAUAAAUACUUCAUAAAGUAAAAAUAAAAAAAAAAAGAAGUUAAUUAUAGCUCUAGCAUGAGUAACAGACAAAUAAAAACAGAAUUUGCAUGGGGAGAGUCUCAACAAUGAUCCAUUAAAUUUUACAGUAACAGAAGAAAAUAUAGAUUUGAUUUCAGAAUGUUUUAGGUUCCUAGAUUUCUAGUAAAUUAUCCACCUUAUUAAAAUAAUCUUUGUUCCAAUAUUGCUAUUUUCUUUGGAAAAUAGAUACAAACUCUCACACAAACACAACUGUUUGCCCCAUAAUUUUCUUACACCUAAAUUUUAUCUUUAGAGCAAUACAUUUACAUAUUUAACUCCAUGUAAAUCAAAACCAAAGUCUGCAUUUAUUUGCGGAAAGAGAUGCUACAUAUUCAAAGAUAAAUAUGGAACAUUUUUUAAAAGCAUUCAU
This is a long non-coding RNA of Pongo abelii (Sumatran orangutan), 2102 nucleotides long. Lineage: Eukaryota; Metazoa; Chordata; Mammalia; Primates; Hominidae. The record is from Ensembl.